AGCUGCUCUGCAGAGAAGCAAUUGGGAAUCCCUGGUCUCUGAUAAUACUUCUAGUUAUGUAAAGACAGCUACAGAAGCAUCCAGGAGAUGAGAAGAAAAAGAACACACAAAGUCAGCAGGUGGGAGACCUUGAAAAGGACCAAGACCUGCUACACGAAGUGCAUCUGGGCCAGGAGCACGGGUGCAUCUGUGUCAGAAUCCACAUUUUCACACAUUCUCCACGUGGACU
Long non-coding RNA from Hyaena hyaena (striped hyena), 229 nucleotides. RefSeq lists it as uncharacterized. The transcript has 3 exons. The record is from RefSeq and is a predicted model, not a curated record. NCBI's taxonomy places the organism in Eukaryota, Metazoa, Chordata, Mammalia, Carnivora, Hyaenidae.